RNAcentral lists this transfer RNA (46 nucleotides) under Roaldia revoluta. RNAcentral's name for it is "partial tRNA-Ser". Lineage: Eukaryota; Viridiplantae; Streptophyta; Bryopsida; Hypnales; Pylaisiaceae. The record is from RNAcentral.
GAGGGAUUCGAACCCUCGGUAAUCAAAAGCCUACAUAGCAUUUCCA